This 465-nucleotide ribosomal RNA is filed under the name uncultured bacterium. Its description in RNAcentral is "partial 16S ribosomal RNA". It matches the Rfam family "Bacterial small subunit ribosomal RNA", at positions 28 to 507 of the family's 1533-position model. The record is from RNAcentral.
GACGAACGCUGGCGGCGUGCUUAACACAUGCAAGUCGAACGGAAAGGCCCCCUUGUGGGGUACUCGAGUGGCGAACGGGUGAGUAACACGUGAGUAACCUACCCUUGACUUUGGGAUAACUUCAGGAAACUGGGGCUAAUACCGGAUAGGAGCUCCUGCUGCAUGGUGGGGGUUGGAAAGUUUCGGCGGUUGGGGAUGGACUCGCGGCUUAUCAGCUUGUUGGUGGGGUAGUGGCUCACCAAGGCUUUGACGGGUAGCCGGCCUGAGAGGGUGACCGGCCACAUUGGGACUGAGAUACGGCCCAGACUCCUACGGGAGGCAGCAGUGGGGAAUAUUGCACAAUGGGCGGAAGCCUGAUGCAGCAACGCCGCGUGCGGGAUGACGGCCUUCGGGUUGUAAACCGCUUUCGCCUGUGACGAAGCGUGAGUGACGGUAAUGGGUAAAGAGGCACCGGCUAACUACGUG